This 484-nucleotide ribosomal RNA is filed under the name uncultured bacterium. RNAcentral describes it as "partial 16S ribosomal RNA". It matches the Rfam family "Bacterial small subunit ribosomal RNA", at positions 29 to 507 of the family's 1533-position model. The record is from RNAcentral.
AUUGAACGCUGGCAGCAUGCUUUACACAUGCAAGUCGAACGGCAGCGCGGGCUUCGGCCUGGCGGCGAGUGGCGAACGGGUGAGUAAUACAUCGGAACGUGCCCAGUAGUGGGGGAUAGCUCGGCGAAAGCCGGAUUAAUACCGCAUACGACCUGAGGGUGAAAGCGGGGGAUCUUCGGACCUCGCGCUAUUGGAGCGGCCGAUGGCAGAUUAGCUAGUUGGUGGGGUAAAGGCCUACCAAGGCGACGAUCUGUAGCUGGUCUGAGAGGACGACCAGCCACACUGGGACUGAGACACGGCCCAGACUCCUACGGGAGGCAGCAGUGGGGAAUUUUGGACAAUGGGUGAAAGCCUGAUCCAGCAAUGCCGCGUGUGUGAUGAAGGCCUUCGGGUUGUAAAGCACUUUUGGCGGGAACGAAAAGGACUGUGCCAAUACCACGGUUCGAUGACGGUACCCGCAGAAUAAGCACCGGCUAACUACGUG